Molecule: small RNA, 211 nt
Filed under: Arabidopsis thaliana (thale cress)
Lineage: Eukaryota; Viridiplantae; Streptophyta; Magnoliopsida; Brassicales; Brassicaceae
Description: ATSL212570
Source: RNAcentral
UACAUAGCACAUAACAUUUUUGGUUUUAUAUAAUCUUUUCUAAAUUAGGAUGAUUUGAUAUGUUUAAUAUUAGUGGUCUUAAAAAAUAAGAAAUUAAAGAUUUAACCCGUAUUGAAACGGUGUAUUAAUUAUAUUUUACUUUUUUAUUAAUUUUGAUUCAAAAACCCGUCCCUCCAAAUCCGUCUUGCUAAAAUGCCAUUUAUUUUAAUAA